GACGAACGCUGGCGGCGUGCUUAACACAUGCAAGUCGAACGGAAAGGCCCUGCUUUUGUUGGGUGCUCGAGUGGCGAACGGGUGAGUAACACGUGAGUAACCUGCCCUUGACUUUUGGAUAACUUCAGGAAACUGGGGCUAAUACCGGAUAGGAGCUCCUGCUGCAUGGUGGGGGUUGGAAAGUUUCGGCGGUUGGGGAUGGACUCGCGGCUUAUCAGCUUGUUGGUGGGGUAGUGGCUUACCAAGGCUUUGACGGGUAGCCGGCCUGAGAGGGUGACCGGCCACAUUGGGACUGAGAUACGGCCCAGACUCCUACGGGAGGCAGCAGUGGGGAAUAUUGCACAAUGGGCGGAAGCCUGAUGCAGCAACGCCGCGUGCGGGAUGACGGCCUUCGGGUUGUAAACCGCUUUCGCCUGUGACGAAGCGUGAGUGACGGUAAUGGGUAAAGAAGCACCGGCUAGCUACGUG
Molecule: ribosomal RNA, 468 nt
Filed under: uncultured bacterium
Lineage: Bacteria
Description: partial 16S ribosomal RNA
Rfam family: Bacterial small subunit ribosomal RNA
Source: RNAcentral